Molecule: ribosomal RNA, 1444 nt
Filed under: metagenome
Description: bacterial SSU rRNA
Rfam family: Bacterial small subunit ribosomal RNA
Source: RNAcentral
AGAGUUUGAUCCUGGCUCAGGAUGAACGCUGGCGGCGUGCUUAACACAUGCAAGUCGAACGAACCUUCGGGUUAGUGGCGGACGGGUGAGUAACGCGUGAGAAUCUGCCCUCAGGAGGGGGAUAACGGCUGGAAACGGCCGCUAAUACCCCAUAUGCCGAGAGGUGAAAUGAAUUUCGCCUGAGGAUGAGCUCGCGUCUGGUUAGCUAGUUGGUGUGGUAAAGGCUCACCAAGGCAUCGAUCAGUAGCUGGUCUGAGAGGAUGAUCAGCCACACUGGGACUGAGACACGGCCCAGACUCCUACGGGAGGCAGCAGUGGGGAAUUUUCCGCAAUGGGCGCAAGCCUGACGGAGCAACGCCGCGUGAGGGAUGAAGGCCUCUGGGCUGUAAACCUCUUUUAUCAAGGAAGAAGAUCUGACGGUACUUGAUGAAUAAGCCACGGCUAAUUCCGUGCCAGCAGCCGCGGUAAUACGGGAGUGGCAAGCGUUAUCCGGAAUUAUUGGGCGUAAAGCGUCCGCAGGCGGUCUUGAAAGUCUGUUGUUAAAGCGUGGAGCUCAACUCCAUUUCAGCAAUGGAAACUAGAAGACUAGAGUGUGGUAGGGGCAGAGGGAAUUCCCGGUGUAGCGGUGAAAUGCGUAGAUAUCGGGAAGAACACCAGUGGCGAAGGCGCUCUGCUGGGCCAUAACUGACGCUCAUGGACGAAAGCCAGGGGAGCGAAAGGGAUUAGAUACCCCUGUAGUCCUGGCCGUAAACGAUGAACACUAGGUGUCGGGGGAAUCGACCCCCUCGGUGUCGUAGCCAACGCGUUAAGUGUUCCGCCUGGGGAGUACGCACGCAAGUGUGAAACUCAAAGGAAUUGACGGGGGCCCGCACAAGCGGUGGAGUAUGUGGUUUAAUUCGAUGCAACGCGAAGAACCUUACCAGGGUUUGACAUCCUGCGAAUCCCUUGGAAACUUGGGAGUGCCUUCGGGAGCGCAGUGACAGGUGGUGCAUGGCUGUCGUCAGCUCGUGUCGUGAGAUGUUGGGUUAAGUCCCGCAACGAGCGCAACCCACGUCUUUAGUUGCCAGCAUUAAGUUGGGCACUCUAGAGAGACUGCCGGUGAUAAACCGGAGGAAGGUGUGGAUGACGUCAAGUCAUCAUGCCCCUUACAUCCUGGGCUACACACGUACUACAAUGCUACGGACAAAGGGCAGCAAACUCGCGAGAGCUAGCCAAUCCCAUAAACCGUGGCUCAGUUCAGAUCGUAGGCUGCAACUCGCCUACGUGAAGGAGGAAUCGCUAGUAAUCGCAGGUCAGCAUACUGCGGUGAAUACGUUCCCGGGCCUUGUACACACCGCCCGUCACACCAUGGAAGUUGGCCACGCCCGAAGUCGUUACUCCAACCCGCAAGGGAGGAGGAUGCCGAAGGUGGGGCUGAUGACUGGGGUGAAGUCGAAACAAGGUA